Molecule: ribosomal RNA, 1140 nt
Filed under: Triticum aestivum (bread wheat)
Lineage: Eukaryota; Viridiplantae; Streptophyta; Magnoliopsida; Poales; Poaceae
Description: partial small subunit ribosomal RNA
Source: RNAcentral
AUGGCGACGGCAGCAGCGACUCCUCCCCAUGGCGGCCUCCCGGAGGAGAUCGUGAUAUGGGAGAUCCUCGUCCGCCUCCCCCCAAAAUCCCUCCUCCGCUGCCGCGCCGUCUGCCGCGCCUGGCGCAGCGCCACCUCCGCCCGCGACUUCCUCGCCGCCCACCACGACCAUCAGCCCAACCUCCCCAUCGUCUUCCAGGUAUACCGCGGCGGCCAAAGCUUACUCGCCUUGGACAACCAGGGCGCCGCCGCCCCCCAGCUCCAACCCGUCGCUCGUCUUGACGACCACUCCAGUCUGGAAGCCUCCUGUGACGGUGUACUCCUCCUCGCCGACUAUGGCAGGGGUGUUUCAACCUUCUCUGUCUGCAACCCAGCCACUCGUCAGUUUGCUCGCUUGCCGAUGCUUUCUGGCUUCGUGUCUCUGGGGAUGUAUCGGCACGGCCCGACCGGCGAGUACCGAAUACUCGUGUGCCCGAGAGAUGAAGAUCCGGCGACUGAUGCCUGCUACAUCUUCACAUUGGGCUCCGUCCAUCCACUGAAGAACAUCGGAUGGCUGCCGGAGGUGGAGGAAAUGUCUUCCACUGGUUUAGUACCUGUUCUCUUCCGUGGUAGCCUGCAUUGGCACCUACAGCAGUAUGAGAGCGCAGACAAAGUGAUAAUGGCAUUCGACACCACAGCUGAGUCGUUCCGGCGGAUGCGUGGUCCAGUCGUUCCUACCAGCGAUGGCCUGUUUGCUGGCAUGUUUGAAAUGGACGGCAUCCUCGGCAUGGCCUGCUCUAAUGAUGAAGGCAAAAUCAUUGGCAUCUGGAUGAUGCAGGACUAUGAAAGCGAGGUCUGGACCUUAAAAUACCGCUUUGAAUUGCCGUUUGAGGAGAUCAAGGUGCAGUGUGACAUGAGGCAGGUUAGGGUGAAGCGUGGCGAUAUGUUGAUUGUCGUUGUGCCCGGCGGCGAUGGUGAGUUGCUUGUGCUAUCACGAUUUGACGAUGUGCUGUUCCAGAUUAACAUGGAUGGCAAGUUGGUUGAAAGUUUCCACCGUGAAGGCCUCUGUCUUACUCAACUUCAGCUCAAACAAACUCUUGCUCUGCAUACAUUCCUUCCGGCGCUAGAGGGUUAUGUUGUGAAUGCUCCACCUUUCAGCUGA